CUCAACUCAACUCAACUCUAUAUAUUGACUCAGCAAUAUCAAGCAUCAAAGCACAUCAACUCUAUAAAUCAAGCAUGUGCAAUCAAGUCCGGUAUGUCUCGUUCUAUAUGUUUUAGUUUCAUCCAUGUAUUCAGCAAGAUCUUUACAUACAUACAUGAUACAUAUUUACAUGCAUACAUACAUAAAUUACAUAUAUAUUAGUACAUGCAGGGUGUUGCAAAAUGGUAUCGAUUUCUCAUCAGAACCUACAAACAUCCUUAGACAGAUUAAAAGUUUGUAGAAUUCAUGUACCUAUUUUGCUUUGUCUGCUCUCUUUGCAGCGCACAGAAGGCAUGUCUUAGCGUCGAUUCUUGCAGUUUUUUCUUCCUUGUGUGUCACUGUUGACCUGCAUAGAUCAGUGUAUCGGAUGAUACUGAGUAAUACCUCGUCUUGGUGGCAACUUCCGUAAAAUGAAAAGGACCAAAAUCGAAGGUAAUAUCUCCACCAACUGCCCAAUAAAAGAAAACAAAACGAAAAGAAAAAGUUUCUGAGGAUAGUUGAAUGCCAUCUUUGUAAUCAACAUCAAGAAACAACAUUAAAAUACUUAUAUAUAUAUAUAUCAUCAAUUUCAGUAAUUCCUCCCCAUUUUGGUAGCAAAAUAGAAAAAAAAGUUCAGUCAGUUUUCUUUCAAUUUCCCCUAUUUUAGAGAGCUAUAUAUAUAUAUACAUGUUCAACAGAGAUACCUAGAAGUUAGCCUCUAGCCUUUUAUAUAAACAUAAGCAAUUAAAAGAAAGAGAAAAGAAUUAGCAAGACAUGAAGAAAAUAUUAUCAACUAUACUCUCAGGUAAAAUUAUUAUCCCCAAAGUUCGAGAACUAGUUUGCAAAUAAUGAUAACAUAAAGUCGCAACUCACAACUGCAUCUAAAAAUUUCUUCCACUUAACAAUCUGAUGGCAAAGUCUUAUAAAUUGCUUACGAAAUUUAUUGAAAUAUGCAUUAAAUUUAGCAGCAAAAUAAACAAGGAAACAAGGAAUUGGCAAUCUUCUCGGUUUUCCUAUGGCAAUGAAAAGGGUUAAGCAACCUCCACACUGUAUUUCAAUAUGAUUGUUUCAAUCAUGAGAAAAUUAGAAACAUGAAGAAAUAUUUAUUAAACAUACCAG
RNAcentral lists this long non-coding RNA (1137 nucleotides) under Gossypium barbadense (sea-island cotton). Its description in RNAcentral is "long non-coding RNA (GBAR_LNC015882)". The record is from RNAcentral. Lineage: Eukaryota; Viridiplantae; Streptophyta; Magnoliopsida; Malvales; Malvaceae.